Molecule: RNA transcript, 2763 nt
Organism: Carica papaya (papaya)
Lineage: Eukaryota; Viridiplantae; Streptophyta; Magnoliopsida; Brassicales; Caricaceae
Gene name: signal transducer, putative (DUF3550/UPF0682)
Source: RefSeq, a predicted model, not a curated record
CUUAGUUCCUCCGGAUUCCGGCGGCCACUGUAAAUUACCCAAAAUAAAUAAAUAAAAACGGAGAGAGCCAAAAAUUAGGUGAAGAAAAAGAAAAGAAAAAGGAAAGAAAAUAAGAAAGAAAAGAAUAUUUCGCUGACAACAUAAAACUACAGCUCACAGGUCAUCGACGCAAAAAGUCCACUUCCCCCUCUCGCUCUCGCUCUCUCUCUCUCUCUCUCUCUCUCACGCUUUGUCUUGCAAGACAACCGUGCGAACAUUUCCCGAUGAAAACCGGCGAUUACCGGCGGUGACACUUUCGCGUUUGCGUUGUGUUCAUGGCCGAGAACGACGUCGUAUCCCGAACCUUCCACGCGUUGGUGGAGAGCGCGGACCGGAAGUUCGCCCGAGUUCGUGACCUCGCGCCGUACGGACGAGCUCAGAGCCACUAUUUCCACAAAGUAUUCAAGGCCUACAUGCGCCUCUGGAAGUACCAGCAGGAGAAUAGGUCCAAGCUGGUCGAGUCUGGCCUUAACCGCUGGGAAAUCGGCGAGAUCGCGAGCCGGAUCGGCCAGCUCUACUUCGGCCAGUACAUGAGGACCAGCGAGGCGCGGUUCCUGGUCGAGGCGUAUGUAUUUUACGAAGCGAUUUUGAAUAGGAGGUACUUUGAGGCGGCAAAAGUGAAGGAUCUCGGCGUUCGAUUCAAGGAGUUGAGAUUCUACGCGAGGUUUUUGCUUGUUUCGUUGAUUCUGUGCCGUAUCGACAUGGUUAAUGUCUUAACUGAGAAGUUUAGGGCUCUUGUUGAUGAUAGCAGGGCAUCUUUUCGGGAAACUAACUUCAAAGAAUGGAACCUAGUUGUUCAAGAAAUUGUUCGUUUUACAGAAGUUGGUGCAUCCAUGAAGAAUAUCAGGCCUUUGCGGUACUCUGCUAUGUUUGAUUCUCAUCCCACGUCUCAACCAUAUGUAGCUCGACUCCAUGCAAAGAAGGUUCUAAAAUUUCAAGAUGCGCUUUUGACAAGUUAUCAUCGGAAUGAGGUUAAAUUUGCUGAACUCACUUUGGACACAUACAGAAUGCUACAGUGUUUGGAAUGGGAGCCAAGUGGUUCUUUUUACCAGAAGCAUCCUGUUGAACCGAAGGAGAAUGGUGUUGUGAUUGAUCAUUCUGGAGCUUCUGGGCUAAUAGAUAUAAACUUGGCUGCUGAUUUGACUGAUCCAACAUUACGACCUAAUCCUAAGAAAGCUGUCCUCUAUCAUCCAUCUGUCACGCAUAUACUAGCAGUUCUUGCAACAAUCUGUGAGGAACUCCCACCAGAGAGUGUCAUGCUAAUAUAUUUAUCUGCGUCAGGGAAGGUAGGUCGUGGCAAUAUCCCUCAGGUGGAAGCCUCUGAAGGAUCAAAGAGAUCCUCAAGAAGCAAGGAGUCUUCACACAUUUCCAUGGAACAUAAUAACUCUGCGCCUCAUUCUCACAUGAAUGGCAAAGUAUUUUCCACUGAUUACUAUGGCGAUUACCUAUGGUUUGGUUCCAAAGGAAAUGGGGGUUUAAAUAACCUUUACCCUGGUGAUCUGAUUCCUUUUACACGAAGACCUCUUUUCCUGAUCAUUGAUAGUGACAACAGCCAUGCAUUCAAGGCAGGUCUUACAUGGUGCAGAAAGGGGAGAGACAGCUGCCUUGCUUUUGUCACCCUUGAGGCCAACAUUCAAAGGCCACCGAUCUGUUAUUGAUGUAACAGAGAAUGGAAGUCAGUUUACCUUUUUCUUAACUGCCCCUCUACAAGCAUUCUGCCUGAUGGUUGACCUCUCUGUGCAUAAUAUUGAUUCAGAGGUUUAUGAAGAUGCCGAGAACAUACUUUCUACUGCUUUCUCUGAGUGCGAAGUGAUUCUGUGCACAUCCAAAACUUUGGAUCUGGUUUGGGCUCAAGUGUUAUCUGACCCUUUCUUGAGGAGGCUUCUUCUUAGAUUCAUAUUCUGCCGGUGUGUGCUUUCUGUCUUCUGUCACUCAGAAGAUAGUGACCAGUACCUGCCCAUUUGCCUUCCCGAUCUUCCCGAGUGUGUGUCUCCCUACUCAGAAGUUAUACAGUCUUCUGUUCACCGGCUAGCAAAUCACCUGGAAGUUGCUCACUGUUUCCGCUUUAAUCACACCGAGUAGGUCCUUACAAUGCAGAGGAGAAACCUUGAAAAUAGAGGUGUAGCCACCUGAUACCAAGCCUUGUGGAUUUAAUCUAAUGGUAACUCUUGGAAAUCUACUAGUUGGCUAUUCUGGGCACUUCAGGUGAAAUCAUCUGGUGAUGGGGAAGCUUUGGCGCGGUUGUUUAUUCUUCUUUUAUUGCUCCCAUGCAACCUCGCAGAUUUUAGGUUGCAUGUUGAAACCAUAUGGUGAGUUGGUGCUCUUUUUAGGUCGAUGUUUCAUAGUUUGCAGGUGUGUUCUUUUUCUUUUUCUUUUUUGAAUUGCACCUUAAUUCAUAGGCCUCAUAGUUGUAUAAGUUUUCUCUGUCACGCUUUUUAGAUCUCUGUAUUCAAUCAGUGCUAAUUUGUUUAGCUGUAACUUUGUAAAAGAAAAUGGGGUAGUCAGGUCGAGAUAUUCCUGUAUUCUUUUCUUUCUUUUUUUUUUUUUUUUUUUUUGGUUUUUCUCUUGGCGGUUUGGUUGCGUAUACUUGAAGCUUCCUGAAAAGGCAACAUGUAAAGGAGUAUUAGUAGUAAAUCGAGGAAUGCUGUUUUAAGUAGGUGUCCUUUGUUCCCUCCUAUUAGUACUUGCUUUUAUAUUCGUAAUAUAGGGAUUUCAUUUGUGUCU